CCUACGGGGGGCAGCAGUGGGGAAUAUUGCACAAUGGGGGGAACCCUGAUGCAGCGACGCCGCGUGAGUGAAGAAGUAUUUCGGUAUGUAAAGCCCUAUCAGCAGGGAAGAAAAUGACGGUACCUGACUAAGAAGCCCCGGCUAACUACGUGCCAGCAGCCGCGGUAAUACGGAGGGGGCAAGCGUUAUCCGGAUUUACUGGGUGUAAAGGGAGUGGCGCCGGUUUUGCAAGUCUGAAGUGAAAGCCGAAGGCUCAACCAUGGGACUGCUGUUGAAACUGUAAAACUGGAGUGCAGGAGAGGUAUGCGGAAUUCCUAGUGUAGCGGUGAAAUGCGUAGAUAUUAGGAGGAACACCAGUGGCGAAGGCGGCUUACUGGACUGUAACUGACGUUGAGGCUCGAAGGCGUGGGGAGCAAACAGGAUUAGAUACCCGAGUAGUC
RNAcentral lists this ribosomal RNA (440 nucleotides) under uncultured bacterium. RNAcentral describes it as "partial 16S ribosomal RNA". It matches the Rfam family "Bacterial small subunit ribosomal RNA", at positions 338 to 795 of the family's 1533-position model. The record is from RNAcentral.